This 536-nucleotide ribosomal RNA is filed under the name uncultured bacterium. Its description in RNAcentral is "partial 16S ribosomal RNA". It matches the Rfam family "Bacterial small subunit ribosomal RNA", at positions 355 to 883 of the family's 1533-position model. The record is from RNAcentral.
UGGGGAAUUUUGGACAAUGGGCGAAAGCCUGAUCCAGCAAUGCCGCGUGUGUGAAGAAGGCCUUCGGGUUGUAAAGCACUUUUGUCCGGAAAGAAAUCCUUGGCUCUAAUACAGUCGGGGGAUGACGGUACCGGAAGAAUAAGCACCGGCUAACUACGUGCCAGCAGCCGCGGUAAUACGUAGGGUGCAAGCGUUAAUCGGAAUUACUGGGCGUAAAGCGUGCGCAGGCGGUUUGCUAAGACCGAUGUGAAAUCCCCGGGCUCAACCUGGGAACUGCAUUGGUGACUGGCAGGCUAGAGUAUGGCAGAGGGGGGUAGAAUUCCACGUGUAGCAGUGAAAUGCGUAGAGAUGUGGAGGAAUACCGAUGGCGAAGGCAGCCCCCUGGCCAAGUACUGACGCUCAUGCACGAAAGCGUGGGGAGCAAACAGGAUUAGAUACCCCUGGUAGUCCACGCCCUAAACGAUGUCAACUAGUUGUUGGGGAUUCAUUUCCUUAGUAACGUAGCUAACGCGUGAAGUUGACCGCCUGGGGAGUAC